This 482-nucleotide ribosomal RNA is filed under the name uncultured bacterium. RNAcentral's name for it is "partial 16S ribosomal RNA". It matches the Rfam family "Bacterial small subunit ribosomal RNA", at positions 30 to 507 of the family's 1533-position model. The record is from RNAcentral.
AUUGAACGCUGGCGGCAUGCUUUACACAUGCAAGUCGAACGGUAACAGGCCGCAAGGUGCUGACGAGUGGCGAACGGGUGAGUAAUGCAUCGGAACGUGCCCAGUCGUGGGGGAUAACUACUCGAAAGAGUAGCUAAUACCGCAUACGAUCUAUGGAUGAAAGCGGGGGACCGUAAGGCCUCGCGCGAUUGGAGCGGCCGAUGUCAGAUUAGGUAGUUGGUGGGGUAAAGGCUCACCAAGCCAACGAUCUGUAGCUGGUCUGAGAGGACAACCAGCCACACUGGGACUGAGACACGGCCCAGACUCCUACGGGAGGCAGCAGUGGGGAAUUUUGGACAAUGGGCGCAAGCCUGAUCCAGCAAUGCCGCGUGCAGGAAGAGGGCCUUCGGGUUGUAAACUGCUUUUGUACGGAACGAAACGGCUCUGGUUAAUACCCUGGGCUAAUGACGGUACCGUAAGAAUAAGCACCGGCUAACUACGUG